UCGAGUGUGUGCCCCCCUCGUAAAAAAAGGGGGGUUACCUCCCGUCCUUUGCUGGGGGCCCCCUCUUAUUUUGGGAGGGGGCUUUUUCAGAACCCCUUCUGCUUCGGCGGGGUCAACCCCCCUGCCGGAACACCCUCAAAAAUUCUUUUAAUUUGUUCAGUCCGAGGAUUUUUUAAAAAAUGAUACA
Molecule: unclassified non-coding RNA, 187 nt
Filed under: uncultured fungus
Lineage: Eukaryota; Fungi
Description: sequence contains ITS1
Source: RNAcentral